CGAAGGAACAUCUACAACAUAUUGCAUAUUAUAAUAUCCCGAUAUAUGCGCAUUCUCAAAGAUUCUGUUCUAGCAAUAGAAUGCAGCUCAAGAGAUGGAGGUUUCAAACACAAUGGCUAUAUGCUGAUUCAAUGAAUGUUCAAUAUAACCAGAUGAAUACUAAUAGUAGUUACAUAUUUUCUGUUUCUCAAUGAGUCAUUUUGUAUUGAAAAUCUACUAAAAUGCAGCUUCCCAAAAAAGGAAGAUACAUAUAUAACUAUCGCUUAAACGAGAGAGAUUGUUAUAAUCCUGAGCUGUUGUUGAUAGGUUGAAACA
This 315-nucleotide small RNA is filed under the name Histoplasma capsulatum var. duboisii H88. RNAcentral's name for it is "Histoplasma capsulatum H88 hypothetical RNA". The record is from RNAcentral. Lineage: Eukaryota; Fungi; Ascomycota; Eurotiomycetes; Onygenales; Ajellomycetaceae.